This 212-nucleotide long non-coding RNA is filed under the name Actinidia chinensis (golden kiwifruit). Its description in RNAcentral is "long non-coding RNA (ACHI_LNC002157)". Lineage: Eukaryota; Viridiplantae; Streptophyta; Magnoliopsida; Ericales; Actinidiaceae. The record is from RNAcentral.
CUACCCCUAUUGCCCCUUAAGUGUGAGGUGUUUGAACAUCCAUAGAGUGGGAACACUUAGGCCUGAAAAAGUGCUAAUUAGGUAGUUGAAGUGGGCUUACUUUUAUUAGUGCCCUAUGCCUCAAUCCUCAUGAGCUUGUCACUUUGGUAUACUUUCUUUGUUCUGGUUUGUUUAUCUAUUUUGAAGAAUUUAAUUUUUUAAGGAGUCAAAAG